This 1114-nucleotide small RNA is filed under the name Histoplasma capsulatum. Its description in RNAcentral is "hypothetical RNA". The record is from RNAcentral. Lineage: Eukaryota; Fungi; Ascomycota; Eurotiomycetes; Onygenales; Ajellomycetaceae. RNAcentral also lists the same sequence under 1 other name.
AUGCAUCCUUUAGUUUUAUGAACCUCUGUUCAUCUGUCUCUGCUCUUCUUGACUCAGAAUGUCAAAAUUGUUUGGCCUUUCGGGGACAAUCCAGCAAUCUCGCACCGGGCCAUCAUGUCUGAACAUACAGGGUAUGCAGGACUUGUAAAACAGCGGCGCGAUGCUGGCGCCCUGCCAGUCAAUUAUGCCGGUGAUUUGACACAUUGUAGGGCCAACAAAGACGUUAUAUAACAUAUUUAUGAGGUGGAGAUCAGGAUGCCAAAGAGCAUUUGCGAUAGCCUCAGAGUCAUUGUCGCUGGGAACCAAAAUGGGGGGCAACGCUCAGAUAUUUUGAAAGUAGGGCAAGAGCCUGAUCUGGGAACUCGGACUCCUUGAAAGACACAUCGAUCAAGGUUAUCAAAUUGCACCGAGGAGAACGACCCAACCAAGAGGGCAUUAUUUCUCUCUUUCAAAGCGGGGAAGUCUUGCUUGAAAUAAAGACGGCCAUGCUUGGUGAAUCUGGUGGUGAUGAGCGCCUGCUCAAUUGUUGACAACUUGCUCGAUUACUCGCAAUUUCGAUUUUCGCGGCCAGCUGUGCCAUAGGCCUCCCAGCCUCGUCCAAGGGGUUUUUCUCUUUGACGAUAGACUUUGCGCUAAUCGGGUUCACGGGGCCAUAGGACGAUGCAAACACUCGCGGGGCUGGCACAUUUACUACUUCGCGCAGCUAAGGGAAAUAAUGAAUGUGGUUAGAUUAGCAACUUAAUUGAAACGAAGACCCGAGGGAUGACUGACAAAUUCCUGUGUUGCAACCUUUGAAGCAGUUAGAUAUCGCGGAGGGCCAGCAUUGGGAUUUGGAAGUUUGGAAGUUUGGCAAUCACCUCGUUGCCAUUCUCCAUUGUCAGGGGCAAAGCUUUGUUAUGCAAUCCCUCCACACAUUUCAACACUUUUGUACUUGAAAGAAAAAUAAGUAAAAAGCUAUGUAUGAUGUAAAACUGUAAGGAGUGGGUGGGACUGAUAACUCUGUCUGUGCUCCAUCACUAGCAGCAUAAAUAGCGCCUUCAAUCAAUUUCUGAAGGUCAAACUUCCGACAACGACAUGAAAUUCCAUUUUCUUCAUUAAAGCUAUUUGUCAGGCC